Molecule: ribosomal RNA, 567 nt
Filed under: uncultured bacterium
Lineage: Bacteria
Description: partial 16S ribosomal RNA
Rfam family: Bacterial small subunit ribosomal RNA
Source: RNAcentral
UGGGGAAUAUUGCACAAUGGGCGCAAGCCUGAUGCAGCCAUGCCGCGUGUGUGAAGAAGGCCUUCGGGUUGUAAAGCACUUUCAGCGAGGAGGAAGGUGGUGAGCUUAAUACGCUCAUCAAUUGACGUUACUCGCAGAAGAAGCACCGGCUAACUCCGUGCCAGCAGCCGCGGUAAUACGGAGGGUGCAAGCGUUAAUCGGAAUUACUGGGCGUAAAGCGCACGCAGGCGGUUUGUUAAGUCAGAUGUGAAAUCCCCGGGCUCAACCUGGGAACUGCAUUUGAAACUGGCAAGCUAGAGUCUCGUAGAGGGGGGUAGAAUUCCAGGUGUAGCGGUGAAAUGCGUAGAGAUCUGGAGGAAUACCGGUGGCGAAGGCGGCCCCCUGGACGAAGACUGACGCUCAGGUGCGAAAGCGUGGGGCAGCAAACAGGAUUAGAUACCCUGGUAGUCCACGCUGUAAACGAUGUCGAUUUGGAGGUUGUGCCCCUUGAGGCGUGGNUUCCGGAGCUAACGCGCUAAAUCGACCGCCUGGGGAGUACGGCCGCAAGGUUAAAACUUAAAGGAAUUG